CGGCGAACUCCGUGCCAGCAGCCGCGGUAAGACGGGGGGGGCAAGUGUUCUUCGGAAUGACUGGGCGUAAAGGGCACGUAGGCGGUGAAUCGGGUUGAAAGUGAAAGUCGCCAAAAACUGGUGGAAUGCUCUCGAAACCAAUUCACUUGAGUGAGACAGAGGAGAGUGGAAUUUCGUGUGUAGGGGUGAAAUCCGGAGAUCUACGAAGGAACGCCAAAAGCGAAGGCAGCUCUCUGGGUCCCUACCGACGCUGGAGUGCGAAAGCAUGGGGAGCGAACGGGAUUAGAUACCCUUGUAGUC
RNAcentral lists this ribosomal RNA (300 nucleotides) under uncultured bacterium. Its description in RNAcentral is "bacterial SSU rRNA". It matches the Rfam family "Bacterial small subunit ribosomal RNA", at positions 494 to 795 of the family's 1533-position model. The record is from RNAcentral.